This is a long non-coding RNA of Oryctolagus cuniculus (rabbit), 1142 nucleotides long. RefSeq lists it as uncharacterized. NCBI's taxonomy places the organism in Eukaryota, Metazoa, Chordata, Mammalia, Lagomorpha, Leporidae. The record is from RefSeq and is a predicted model, not a curated record.
AGAACCAGGCCUUUCUCUGCAGGCAUCACUUUGCUGUCCUGGAAUCUCGGCUAACUGGGCUAAAUUUACCAAGCUCUGCGUAAUUUCACAGGCCAGGUCUGCCAGAACUCACAGAAGUUUCCAUGGCUGACUGGAGUCUCGCCCGUAAUAGGCACCCAGCAUCAAAGAGGGGUAAAGCAGAUGACGCACAAAGCAAAGACUCCUUUUCAGAGAGAAACACGAUGAAGAGUGAGUCGGGAGCAAACACUGAAAACCCAGAGCAUGCAAUAAGAUUUCCAAACUGAGAAGAAGGAUGAAAAUAAACAAAGUCCUUUAUUGUACAGGUAUGCAUAGUGAUGUUAAAUGUCAAAAUACGAGUUGAAGAGGCCAGCAUUGUGACGCAGAGGAUAAAGCUGCCACCUGCGACAACAGCAUCCCAUUUGCGUGAUGUCCUGCCUGCUCGACUUCUGAUCCAGCUUCCUGCUAAUGGCCUGGGAGAGGCAGCAUUAGAUGGCCCAAGUGUUUGAACUCAUGCCACAUACAUAGGAGAUCCAGAAGAAGCUCCUGGCUUUGAUCUGGCCAACCCUGGCCAUUUCUCUCUCUCUCUCUCUCUCUCUCUCUCUGUGUGUGUAACUCUGACUUUCAAAUAAAUUAAUUAAUCUUUUUAAAAUAUAUGAAAUGAAUUCAUGUGCCAUACCUGUCAGAAGUACAAUGAAACUCUUCAAAAUGGGGAUGGCAGAAAAGAAGAGAAGUAGUAACACUUGAUGAAUGACAUGAGUGCUGAUUGAUCUGUACCAGAGAUUUCAUUUAAUUAAAGAAUUCACUACAUCCAUGACCACCAGGAGGAGAGUGGAGUCGAGAACAGAAGAUGGUGAGAUGAUCCUAGCCAUUAAGGCUGCUUUUAAGGGAUAGAAGUAAUCCAUCGAUUUCAGGAAACAAAAAGUAAUGCGGCUUCAAAUUUGGCCUCUUACGUCUUUACCAGAAAAUUGGUGCCUUGAAACUACAGUGUCACUGUGACUACUGAGAAGUCUACCAUUCUGAAGCUAUCUAAUAAGGGAGAGACUAAGUAGGUGCCAGCCAAACCUUCCCCAGACAUGGUAUUUAAAACGUGUGCUACAGACUCAAUCCAGGUUGAGUAAGAUAGACCGACAUUGAGCUGCCCU